CCUCUGCUGGGGUGUGCGUGUCAUCCGUGCUGGAACCCAGCAGCUGCUCUGGACCAGUCUCCCUAUUCAACUCCAUGUGUCAAUAGUGAACAUCUUCUUUUCACCAUCACAAUCUUCAGGGAUUAGGUUUGUUGCUCCAGGGACACCAACACCAAUUUGCAGCUCGCCAGUGAAACGGCAAUUGUUUCCAUGAUCCCUCGCCUCCUCUGCCAACUUCCACAUUCCCUGUU
Passer montanus (Eurasian tree sparrow) is the source of this 230-nucleotide long non-coding RNA. RefSeq lists it as uncharacterized. NCBI's taxonomy places the organism in Eukaryota, Metazoa, Chordata, Aves, Passeriformes, Passeridae. The transcript has 3 exons. The record is from RefSeq and is a predicted model, not a curated record.